This 1950-nucleotide long non-coding RNA is filed under the name Lathyrus oleraceus (garden pea). RNAcentral's name for it is "Pisum sativum (pea) long non-coding RNA (PSAT_LNC011211)". Lineage: Eukaryota; Viridiplantae; Streptophyta; Magnoliopsida; Fabales; Fabaceae. The record is from RNAcentral.
CAGCUGAAGCUUAGAGGUGAAACUUCAAUGGUGGUGUUAGUGCUCUAGGUGAAGGUAGCUAAUUUAGGGAGUGAAGAACUUUGAAGAAUCCAACUCUGAAGUUUUAUGGUGAAAAAAUGAAUCCCCCUGAGAAUGAACUAGGUGAGUUCCAUUUAUAGAAUUUUCUACCCUCCAAAUUCUGUUACAAAUUCGGUUAGAAGUUGAAUUGGAUGGAAAAUGGAAGUUAGGAGUUAGUUAACAAUUAGUUUGGAUGGAAAGUUUGUUAGAGGUUGGUUAACAAUGUUAGACAUUCAGUUAUGAUGUUGUUAGGAAUUUUGGUUAGUGAAAAACGAAGGUUAUUUAAUGCAGUUAGUGAAGUUGAGAAGGAUUGAAGUCAGUUGCUUGUUAAAAUUGUUAGUGUGAUGAGCUCAUUUAAUGAAUUUACUAAUGCAUUGCAAAUGUUUGAAUGAAUCUGAGUAUGAAUUAGAUUGAGGUUAGUUAAAUUUUAAGUUUAAUGUUAGUGUUUAGGAAAGUUAGAAAGAGUUAGUUGGGAUUGAAAAUCUGUUAGGAGAUAGUUUGAACUGAACUUUGCAGUUAGUUUGCAUACUGAUGAUUGUGAGGUUAAGAAUCAAUUCACAUGUUAAUACUCUUUUGAAUUUUAGUUAGGAUUGUGAAUCAGUUAACUUUCCAGUUGAAUUUUGUAGUAGGUUUGAGGUUUGAAUUAAAAUUAUCUAUAUGUGAUAGACACUAUGCAAGUUGGCAGUUAGGGGGUUGAUUUAUUUGAAUGUGAAAUCAGAACUGUUAUGUGACAAUGCAUUGCUAUGAAGUUGAGUUAUGAAUGAUACUGUUAUACUUUGAAUUGUUAUUUUAGUGCUUAGUUGUAAUCUAAGAAUGUGUUAGGGUUCUGUUAGUUAGAAUUGAACUGUUUGUGAAGGUUUUUAGAGUUAGUCUUGUUAAAGGUCCUGUUAUGGAAUUAUGAAAUGUAACUCUAUUAGUUAUUUAGGAAAUUUGGUUAGGAUGUUAUGUAUGAACUAAGUGUAUUUGUAAACCUAAUUGAAUGUUAAUUGAGCUAUUAUGCUGCUUUGGUGAAUGUUAAUGAAUUUUGCAUUGUUUUUUGGUAAUGAAAUAGUUAUGGUGAUUUGAAUGGAAGUUAACUAGCUAUUGAUGAAUGUAAGUUGGUUUAAAGUUUAGAAAAACUUAAUAGAACUAUUAUGCAUGAAAUGGCUAUGCUGAAAUGAUGUUUGAACAAGUUUGCAGUGCCCUUAGAUCAAUGGAGUGACUGCCAAUUUGUUAGGGCUGCUAGUGAGUUGAUAGAAGCUAAUGACAAUUAGCAAUUUUCAACCGUUAGUAUGAUGGUGCAUUACUUGGACUUUCAUUAUUGGAUAUGGACAUGACAUAAAGAAUAUUUUUGUAUUUGACAUGAAUGUUUUGAUGAAUUGCAGGCUGUUAUUUAUGUGAGUCUUGAAGCAUCAUUCAUGAAGUUCCUCUCUUGCCAUUUCAUCGCUCUAGGAAGUGGACUACCGAUACCAGCAAUCUGAGACAAUCCUCUCUUGCCAACUGUUGGAAAAUACUCAUGAACCCAACAUUGUUGCACAACAUGAAUAUUAUCAAUUAAAAUUAUUAUAAAUAAGUUAAUAUAAGUCAAAAUAAAAUUAAAAUUAAACAUUUGUACCUGUAGCAAAAAGGCAUAUCCCCUAAGUUGCUUGGAAGUAUAAAAGGAAGCAUCCCCUAGAUAUUUGUAGAGUGUGACAAGUGCAUAUAGGCUAUAACUGCACAGUCAAAUCUACUCUCAGCUCGUUGACGCGUAAAAAUGGUGCAGCCUACCAACAAUAGCAUAUACGCUAUAAAAAUCUAUUCUCAGCUCGCUGACGCGUAAAAAUCUCCUUCAACCAAUCCAACCUAUAAUAAUCACCCAUACAAAACAUCUCUAAUUGUCUCCUCCAACAAAAUACCCAAUAGAUCAAUAUCCAG